UGGGACGUCGCCAAGUGGUAAGGCACCUGGUUUUGGUCCAGGCAUUCCUAGGUUCGAAUCCUAGCGUCCCAG
Molecule: transfer RNA, 72 nt
Filed under: Alkalinema sp. RU_4_3
Lineage: Bacteria; Bacillati; Cyanobacteriota; Cyanophyceae; Leptolyngbyales; Leptolyngbyaceae
Description: tRNA-Gln
Rfam family: tRNA
About the family: Transfer RNA (tRNA) molecules are approximately 80 nucleotides in length.
Source: RNAcentral